Long non-coding RNA from Chenopodium quinoa (quinoa), 829 nucleotides. RefSeq lists it as uncharacterized. The record is from RefSeq and is a predicted model, not a curated record. NCBI's taxonomy places the organism in Eukaryota, Viridiplantae, Streptophyta, Magnoliopsida, Caryophyllales, Amaranthaceae. The transcript has 3 exons.
ACAAUAUCUUUUAAAGUCUACUCAAUUCUUCUUGCUUGGUCUUUAAUUUAUUGAUUUCAUGCAAUUCUUCAACUAUCAUCACAUAUUAAACAAAAUAAAAAAGGAUUGCAAAACACCUUGUAAUUGGUAUACACUAGACCCUAGUGUAGGUAGGGAUACCUACACCCCCCUCUAAACGAUGCGUUUAUCAUGUUACCCACAUCCCAUAACCCACUAACCUACUGUAACUACCUACCAUUCUCUCUAAAACCUUCUUCUUCAUUUCUCUAGACUUUCUCUCUCAUCAAAACUAGAAAAUAUGAACCAAAAUUGCUUCAAAAUACUACAAAAUUGCUUCAAAAUACUACGAAAUUGCUUCAAAAUAUUGCUAAAUUCCUUCAAAUGUCUACAUUUGCGAAGAAAUUCAACAAUCGCAACAACAUUCACAGAAAGAAACCGAAAAAUAUAUUUCGAAUUAGAGAGAUAAAGAGAAUGAUGAUUCAGAGAAGAAUCAUGUUCGUUGAACAUAACAAGGCAUAGUCUGAAGAAACGUGAACCAAAUUAGGAAGCAAGGAUGCGGAACUGAUGUUAUUUGAAGAAAAACACUAAAUAUAGGUUAAAUCGAAGAUAAGCAAGGAAGUUUGCAAAUGAAUAGUACAUGUUAUAUGUUCAUUUAUGAAAGUGUAUAUGUUCAUUAAUGAAUGUGUAUAUGAUCAUAUCUUAAACUUCCUCCAUUUCUUUUUACUUGCAACACAGCCUUGUGGCACGUGUUUUGAGGUCGGGUUUAUAUAAUGUAAACGGAUAAAUUAUUCAUUAUAAUUUUUACAAAUGAUACUUAACCCUAUUCUAA